RNAcentral lists this ribosomal RNA (1300 nucleotides) under metagenome. RNAcentral describes it as "bacterial LSU rRNA". It matches the Rfam family "Bacterial large subunit ribosomal RNA", at positions 1635 to 2925 of the family's 2925-position model. The record is from RNAcentral.
UACACGACCGUACCGCAAACCGACACUGGUGCGCGAGAUGAGUAUUCUAAGGCGCUUGAGAGAACUCAGGAGAAGGAACUCGGCAAAUUGACACCGUAACUUCGGAAGAAGGUGUGCCUUUAGUAGGUGAACCUGUACAAGGGGAGCCCAAUGAGGUUGCAAAAAAUCGGUGGCUGCGACUGUUUAAUAAAAACACAGCACUCUGCAAACACGAAAGUGGACGUAUAGGGUGUGACGCCUGCCCGGUGCUGGAAGAUUAAAUGAUGGGGUGCAAGCUCUUGAUUGAAGUCCCAGUAAACGGCGGCCGUAACUAUAACGGUCCUAAGGUAGCGAAAUUCCUUGUCGGGUAAGUUCCGACCUGCACGAAUGGCGUAACGAUGGCCACACUGUCUCCUCCUGAGACUCAGCGAAGUUGAAAUGUUUGUGAUGAUGCAAUCUCCCCGCGGAAAGACGGAAAGACCCCAUGAACCUUUACUGUAGCUUUGUAUUGGACUUUGAACAGAUCUGUGUAGGAUAGGUGGGAGGCUUUGAAGUGUGGUCGCUAGAUCGCAUGGAGCCAACGUUGAAAUACCACCCUGGUGUGUUUGAGGUUCUAACCUAGGCCCGUAAUCCGGGUCGGGGACAGUGCAUGGUAGGCAGUUUGACUGGGGCGGUCUCCUCCCAAAGCGUAACGGAGGAGUUCGAAGGUACGCUAGGUACGGUCGGACAUCGUGCUAAUAGUGCAAUGGCAUAAGCGUGCUUAACUGCGAGACUGACAAGUCGAGCAGAUGCGAAAGCAGGACAUAGUGAUCCGGUGGUUCUGUAUGGAAGGGCCAUCGCUCAACGGAUAAAAGGUACUCUGGGGAUAACAGGCUGAUACCGCCCAAGAGUUCAUAUCGACGGCGGUGUUUGGCACCUCGAUGUCGGCUCAUCUCAUCCUGGGGCUGUAGCCGGUCCCAAGGGUAUGGCUGUUCGCCAUUUAAAGAGGUACGUGAGCUGGGUUUAAAACGUCGUGAGACAGUUUGGUCCCUAUCUUCCGUGGGCGCUGCAGAUUUGAGGAAGCCUGCUCCUAGUACGAGAGGACCGGAGUGGACACACCUCUGGUGUAUCGGUUGUCACGCCAGUGGCAUUGCCGAGUAGCUAUGUGUGGAAGAGAUAACCGCUGAAAGCAUCUAAGCGGGAAACUCGUUUCAAGAUGAGAUCUGCCGGGGCCUUGAGCCCCCUAAAGAGUCGUUCAAGACCAGGACGUUGAUAGGUCGGGUGUGGAAGCGCAGUAAUGCGUUAAGCUAACCGAUACUAAUUGCUCGUGCGGCUUGACCAA